CAUGGCUGCAGUGAGCGAAGCAUCUAGACUGAUGUGCAGAAUAGUUUUGACUGACAAAACUCUUCCAGUCGUAGCCUAAAUAUCAUCGAGGAACCUCCACUUUUCAAUCUACGGCAAGAGGGAGAGUGCCAAAGUUUCAGAUGGAGUGUCCACACAUUAUCCAAUGGAUUUUGAAUUUGCUGCAGUGGUGGUUGGAGCCGGAUUCCGAGCGGCCUUUGGUUUGUCUGAAGCUGGGUUUAUCACAGCCUGCAUAACCAAAUUGUUUCCCACCAGAUCACACACAGUGGCUGUGCAGGUAACUUUGGAAUACAGGCCUGUGACUGACAGCUCGCUGAAUGAGGAAGACUGUGCAGCUAUCCCUCCUGCUAUUCACUCCUAUUAAACAUACAGUACACAGGGGCCUGGGUAGCUCAGCGAGUAUUAACGCUGACUACCACUCCUGGAGUUGCGAGUUUGAAUCCCGGAUGCGCUGAGUGACUCCAGCCAGGUCUCCUAAGCAACCAAAUUGGCCCGGUUGCUAGGGAGGGUAGAGUCACAUGGGGUAACCUCCUUGUGGUCGUGAUUACUGGUUCUCGUUCUCAAUGGGGCAUGUGGUAAGUUGUGCGUGGAUCGUGGAGAGUAGCAUGAGCCCCUUAUUCAGAGUCUCCGCAGUGUCAUGCACAAUGAGCCACGUGAUAAGAUGUGUGGAUUUAUGGUCUCAGAAGCAGAGGCAACUGAGGCUUGUCCUCUGCCACCCAUAUUGAGGUGAGUAACCGCACCAUCACAAGGACCUAGUAAGUAGUGGGAAUUGGGCAUUGCAAAUUUGGAGAAAAAAGGGGAUAAAAAAAACAAACAUACAGUACACACCUUUAUUAUCUCAUUAAUUAACUUUAAUCAUCUCAAAGCAUGUGAGAAAUUACUGUAAAUAUCAUAACUCCAUUAUUUAUAAAGGGAAACUUGCAAUCAUGGAUCAAAAGUCAGUGUUGAAUUGCACAGCUAGGUUUAUUUUAAAAGUCUGAGGAUGUACAUGUAAGUCGUGUUCACAUAUACAGCCUUUCCAGAAAAUUACUACAAUUUCCAGUUUAGAGGUCAUGUGUGAACACGACCCUUUUGAAAAUACUGGUAAAUUUUGCUCUGGCAAUUUUCCUUAAUGCGAAGUUGUAUCAUUACCUAUAAAUUUCCUUAUUGAUGGUAUGUGUGAACAGCGCAUUUGGUUCAUUUACCAGUAAAGGCAACCCAACAAUUUUCCUGUAAUUGACCUGGUGUGAAUGGGGCUAUUGAGUACAUGUUCAGUGACCUCUUGGGGACAAACUUGGUGUAUGAACUGAAAGCUGAGCUACUUGUAUUGGGACUUGUAUUAUAAUCAUUGCACUUUUAAGAACCAAG
Long non-coding RNA from Myxocyprinus asiaticus (Chinese sucker), 1365 nucleotides. RefSeq lists it as uncharacterized. NCBI's taxonomy places the organism in Eukaryota, Metazoa, Chordata, Actinopteri, Cypriniformes, Catostomidae. The record is from RefSeq and is a predicted model, not a curated record. The transcript has 4 exons.